UAGCAAUACACCAGUGGCGGACGGGUCAGUAAUGAAUCGCUAAUGUACCCCGGAGCCAGGGAUAGCUACCCGAAAGGGUAGGUAAUACCUGAUGAGACCACGGCAUCGCAUGAUGCAGUGCUCAAAGCCGCAAGGCACUCUGGGAGCAGGCGAUUUUGUAUCAGCUUGUUGGUGAGGUAACGGCUCACCAAGGCGACGACGCAUAGCCGGACUGAGAGGUUGGCCGGCGACAUUGGGACUGAGACACUGCCCAGACUCCUACGGGGGGCUGCAGUAACGAAUCUUCCGCAAUGCACGAAAGUGUGACGGAGCGACGCCGCGUGUAGGACGAAGCCCUUCGGG
RNAcentral lists this ribosomal RNA (342 nucleotides) under uncultured bacterium. RNAcentral's name for it is "bacterial SSU rRNA". It matches the Rfam family "Bacterial small subunit ribosomal RNA", at positions 81 to 422 of the family's 1533-position model. The record is from RNAcentral.